RNAcentral lists this transfer RNA (74 nucleotides) under Ignavibacteriota bacterium. RNAcentral's name for it is "Ignavibacteriae bacterium (activated sludge metagenome) tRNA-Ile". It matches the Rfam family "tRNA". From Rfam's summary of the family: Transfer RNA (tRNA) molecules are approximately 80 nucleotides in length. Their secondary structure includes four short double-helical elements and three loops (D, anti-codon, and T loops). RNAcentral also lists the same sequence under 1 other name. The record is from RNAcentral. Lineage: Bacteria; Pseudomonadati; Ignavibacteriota.
GGGCCUGUAGCUCAGUCGGUUAGAGCAACGGACUCAUAAUCCGUUGGUCGGGGGUUCAAGUCCCUCCGGGCCCA